Molecule: long non-coding RNA, 480 nt
Organism: Drosophila willistoni
Lineage: Eukaryota; Metazoa; Arthropoda; Insecta; Diptera; Drosophilidae
Exons: 2
Source: RefSeq, a predicted model, not a curated record
UCUUUAAGCUGACAGCUGACUAAAUUAAUUUGACAAUAAUUAGCAUUUCAAGUUGUCAACGUUAAUGAAAUUCUGCGCCAUUGCAUACGACAAAAACGCUGCAGCAGAAUCCAUUGGCCGGCUAACCGGCAUCCUCAUCCCAAUGCCUGUCAAAAUGCCAGCCCAGAAACAGAACAGCACAGACAUGGAAAUGAAGACGGAAACCAGAGCAUGGUGCGGAUGAAGGGGAGCGGAGAGAAAAGCAAGAAAGAAAUCAGUUCGAAGGUGUCAUUUGCAUUUGCUGCGCGUUAAUUAUGUGUUAUUUAUAAUUAUGCGCCCCUCGGUCUACACAUGCGUUGACAUCGGUUGUCAGCAUUGGCAACAGACUGCCGGACUUGUCCCACUGUCGGGAUAAACUGAUUUAUUUUUUAUACUCUUGCAGCGAAGGUAUAUUCAUGUUUUAACUUAAUUUGAACAGGUCAAUAAAUUUGAAUUAUCAUA